AUGAUAAGGACCUCCCUCCUGGCCUUUCUCCUCUCUCCACGCCCCCGGCGGCACCCCCCCACCCCCGCCCCCAGGCCUUUGUCGGAGACUGGAUUUUGCAUUUUCCUUUCCAGGUGGGCGGCGGGAAGUGGGGGUGGGGCACCGGCCUCGCUGAAGGUCGGUGGUCUACUCGGCCGGGCGGCAGCCGCUGUCCUAGCCCCACCCGAGCCAUCCCGGCGCACUCACCUCUCUCGGGUCCGGGUGCCGGAGGCCAGGCCGCGGGUCCGUCCCGCCCGGCUGGGCCCGACGCCGGCGGGCGGGAGGAAAGGACUGCCGCGCGGCGGCGGCGGGACCCGGGUCCGGCGGGGGCGUGGUGUGGACCGCGCUGCGCUCGGGCUACGGCUCCCGCUCGCCCGCGCGUCUCGCCGCCACCUGGAGGCGGAGGAGGGGGCGGAGGCUCGCGGCGGCCAGGGCAGGGUGCGGCUUCCCGGAGGGCUCCUCAGGGCCAUUGCUCUCCCGUGGGGAACGCGGAGGGGCCCGGGGGCUUCUUCUCCACCUGCUCAUUUGGGGUCUCUUGCGGAUGGAGAGGUCCCCCAUGCUGUCAACCUCCCCAGGCUCACUCCUGCCCUAGCUCCAGGGAGAAGGGCAAGAAGAGAGAAUGGAAGAAACGAGAAGCCGGAGGCAGCCUCCAGACUUGACCCGAGUGGCCUCCUGUGUGCCCUUGUGCGGAGGAACACUGCGAGGAACACUGCGCACACCUGCGUCUCUGCCAGGACGGUCAGCUCUGCACACCAGCUGCUCUGCUCUUUGAUGUUCCUCCUUCUUGGCCCAUUCUUCUCGGUUGUUCUGUCUCUUCCGCUUUUCAGCCCAUCCCUUAAAGGCGGUGCUCUCAGUGGUGCGCUGAGCCAACCUGUACUGACCUGUGAGAGCAGGUUAGUGAAUUUCCCAGAAUUUUCCAAGCCAGUUGUUAAACAGGGCCAUCAUUAAAAAUGAGUUUAUGUAAAGCUGCGAGUAAUUUAUGUUAAAAGCCAUAGUAAUAAAUACUCAAAAUGUGUCUCUUCUUAAUUAUUU
Molecule: long non-coding RNA, 1050 nt
Filed under: Bos indicus x Bos taurus (hybrid cattle)
Lineage: Eukaryota; Metazoa; Chordata; Mammalia; Artiodactyla; Bovidae
Description: lncRNA (ENSBIXG00000006888.1)
Source: RNAcentral